This 253-nucleotide ribosomal RNA is filed under the name uncultured bacterium. RNAcentral describes it as "partial 16S ribosomal RNA". It matches the Rfam family "Bacterial small subunit ribosomal RNA", at positions 524 to 776 of the family's 1533-position model. The record is from RNAcentral.
UACGGAGGGUGCAAGCGUUGCUCGGAAUUAUUGGGCGUAAAGGGUAGGUAGGUGGUCUUAUUUGUCUGGGGUGAAAGCCUUGAGCUUAACUCAAGAAGUGCCCCAGAAACGGUGAGACUAGAGUCCUGGAGAGGGUCGUGGAAUUCCCGGUGUAGCGGUGAAAUGCGUAGAGAUCGGGAAGAACAUCAGUGGCGAAGGCGGUCUGCUGGGCCGUUGCUGACGCUGAGGCGCGACAGCGUGGGGAGCAAACAGG